GGAUGAAUAGCUUAACGGGAAAGCGGCCCCUUCUAAGGAGCAGGUUGAAAGUCCGGCUCUUUCUUCAUCCG
This 71-nucleotide transfer RNA is filed under the name Bacteroidota bacterium. RNAcentral describes it as "tRNA-Arg". It matches the Rfam family "tRNA". Rfam says of the family: Transfer RNA (tRNA) molecules are approximately 80 nucleotides in length. The record is from RNAcentral. Lineage: Bacteria; Pseudomonadati; Bacteroidota.